AGAGAUAGAAAGAAAACAAUCACAGACCACCACCAAAGAUCUAAAUCUUGAUGGAACAAAACCAUCAAGAUUUUAGAUUUAGACAGAGAUUCACUUCCAUUCAAAGAGGAGAGACAAGAGAAAAUUAAACAGAAAACAAAGAAAGGUAAACAAUUUCUACUGGAAAAAGAGCUCCCAGGGAGCUCUUCCCCUAGGAAAUAAUAGGGAAGGUAAGGAUUUGUUUGAGUUGGCAACGGAUGACCUAAAAAAUUUUGUGGAAAAGAAACCCAGUAGUUUAACAUUGGUUGAACCAUAAAUUCUCCACACAAAUUAAUAGAAGUAACCUAAAUAUUCAAAAUUUGUCUAACUAAUUUUGAUAGAUAUCAAGAAAUCAAAUUAUAUUUUUCAAAAUAAGAGAUGGUUCACUGAUUCAUACGAUGGGGUUCUGUAA
Molecule: long non-coding RNA, 430 nt
Filed under: Citrus sinensis (sweet orange)
Lineage: Eukaryota; Viridiplantae; Streptophyta; Magnoliopsida; Sapindales; Rutaceae
Description: long non-coding RNA (CSIN_LNC001996)
Source: RNAcentral